Molecule: ribosomal RNA, 285 nt
Filed under: uncultured beta proteobacterium
Lineage: Bacteria; Pseudomonadati; Pseudomonadota; Betaproteobacteria
Description: partial 16S ribosomal RNA
Rfam family: Bacterial small subunit ribosomal RNA
Source: RNAcentral
AAGCAGGGGAUCGCAAGACCUCGCGUUACUAGAGUGGCCUACGCCUGAUUAGCUAGUUGGUGGGGUAAAGGCUCACCAAGGCGACGAUCAGUAGCUGGUCUGAGAGGAUGAUCAGCCACACUGGAACUGAGACACGGUCCAGACUCCUACGGGAGGCAGCAGUGGGGAAUUUUGGACAAUGGGCGCAAGCCUGAUCCAGCCAUUCCGCGUGAGUGAAGAAGGCCUUCGGGUUGUAAAGCUCUUUCAGGGGGGAAGAAACGGUUACGGCCAAUACCCGUGACUAAU